CACGUAGGCGGCAGGGCAAGUCAAAGGUGAAAGCCCUCAGCUCAACCGAGGAAUUGCCUUUGAAACUGCCUUGCUUGAGUCCGGGAGGGGGGAGCGGAAUUCCCAGUGUAGCGGUGAAAUGCGUAGAUACUGGGAGGAACACCGGUGGCGAAGGCGGCUCCCUGGACCGGUACUGACACUGAGGUGCGAAAGCGUGGGUAGCAAACA
This 207-nucleotide ribosomal RNA is filed under the name uncultured bacterium. RNAcentral describes it as "partial 16S ribosomal RNA". It matches the Rfam family "Bacterial small subunit ribosomal RNA", at positions 568 to 774 of the family's 1533-position model. The record is from RNAcentral.